UAGCUUAGUGGAUAGAGCGUUUGUUUCCUAAGUAGAAAAUUGUAGGUUUGACCCCUAC
RNAcentral lists this transfer RNA (58 nucleotides) under Ipomoea nil (Japanese morning glory). It matches the Rfam family "tRNA", at positions 8 to 63 of the family's 71-position model. Rfam says of the family: Transfer RNA (tRNA) molecules are approximately 80 nucleotides in length. Their secondary structure includes four short double-helical elements and three loops (D, anti-codon, and T loops). Lineage: Eukaryota; Viridiplantae; Streptophyta; Magnoliopsida; Solanales; Convolvulaceae. The record is from Rfam by way of RNAcentral.